RNAcentral lists this transfer RNA (48 nucleotides) under Menura novaehollandiae (superb lyrebird). RNAcentral describes it as "partial tRNA-Gly". Lineage: Eukaryota; Metazoa; Chordata; Aves; Passeriformes; Menuridae. The record is from RNAcentral.
CAAUCGACUUCCAAUCCCUAGAUUCUGGUGAAACCCCAGAGAAGAGUA